AUCUUGGUGCCUGUUUCUGUUAGUUCCAGCAGGUCCAGCUGGCCCACUUCACCUCAGUUUGAUGAUUUCGAUUGGGUUUCUGUGGACGGGAGUGAAGAUGUUGAGAAAGCUCAUGGGUUUCUUGAUGACUUUGUUCUUGGACCUGUUCCUUCUGGAGAUGAAGUUCACAACGCUGUUUCUGCUCUUCAACACAAGUAUCUUCAUUUGGGACAGAAUCAGAUUGGAUGGAGCCUUAUGUUUACCUUUGUAAUUCCCAGCCUCAGGGACGUCAAAGAGUUUAUGAGGCUUUCAGUUUAUUGCAGAAUGAGUCAUCUGUUCAGAGAAUAGUGGUUUCAUUGUCAUAUGAUAGAGCAGUUUGGGAUGCUGUGAUGAAUAAUGAGGUGGUGAGGGAGCUGAGGGAAUCCUUCUAUGCAGGUUGGUAUGAAUUUCAAGGACCGUAGUUGAUUAGACUUAUCUAAGUAUUAUACUCUGUGUUAUAAAAGAGGUGCUACAACACGAUUUUACAAGUUUCAUAC
Rosa chinensis is the source of this 515-nucleotide RNA transcript. RefSeq lists it as uncharacterized. The transcript has 3 exons. NCBI's taxonomy places the organism in Eukaryota, Viridiplantae, Streptophyta, Magnoliopsida, Rosales, Rosaceae. The annotation marks the transcript as partial. The record is from RefSeq and is a predicted model, not a curated record.